UCCACAAGACAAAGCCGUCAUUUUUGCCCCAAAGCCCAUACGGUCAAGCACAAGCCCACCUCAAACGCCAGCCAUGGCCAUACAACGCCGUGCUUAAAUUCCAUGCAGCGCUCGCCCACGCCGCCCCCCUCCCUCCUGAGCUCUCCCUUUUCCGAUCUGGCGUGAUGCUAGAACGGCGGGUGACCAGAAAUGAUGGGACCGUAUUCAACGUUUGCUGGAACCGCCCCGUGGUUUUUGCUACCGAGUUUUUUGCUGGAUCAUGGCAGUGCUAGUCGAUGGUGGCGGUGAGCCGAAGACGCCGACACGAGAAUUUUUUCUACAACCAUGACGACUGUGGGAUGGAACCGGUCAACAGUAGAAGCUGAC
Molecule: long non-coding RNA, 366 nt
Organism: Triticum aestivum (bread wheat)
Lineage: Eukaryota; Viridiplantae; Streptophyta; Magnoliopsida; Poales; Poaceae
Exons: 2
Source: RefSeq, a predicted model, not a curated record